RNAcentral lists this ribosomal RNA (502 nucleotides) under uncultured bacterium. RNAcentral's name for it is "partial 16S ribosomal RNA". It matches the Rfam family "Bacterial small subunit ribosomal RNA", at positions 30 to 523 of the family's 1533-position model. The record is from RNAcentral.
AUUGAACGCUGGUGGAAUGCUUUACACAUGCAAGUCGAACGGCAGCACGGGUGCUUGCACCUGGUGGCGAGUGGCGAACGGGUGAGUAAUGUAUCGGAACGUAUCCAAUAAUGGGGGAUAACUAACCGAAAGGUUAGCUAAUACCGCAUACGCCCUACGGGGGAAAGCAGGGGAUCUUCGGACCUUGCGUUAAUGGAGCGGCCGAUAUCUGAUUAGCUAGUUGGUGAGGUAAAGGCUCACCAAGGCUUCGAUCAGUAGCUGGUCUGAGAGGACGACCAGCCACACUGGAACUGAGACACGGUCCAGACUCCUACGGGAGGCAGCAGUGGGGAAUUUUGGACAAUGGGGGCAACCCUGAUCCAGCCAUUCCGCGUGAGUGAAGAAGGCCUUCGGGUUGUAAAGCUCUUUCGCAAGGGAAGAAACGAUACAGUCGAAUAAACUGUGUUAAUGACGGUACCUUGAUAAGAAGCACCGGCUAACUACGUGCCAGCAGCCGCAGUAA